This 272-nucleotide ribosomal RNA is filed under the name uncultured prokaryote. RNAcentral's name for it is "partial 16S ribosomal RNA". It matches the Rfam family "Bacterial small subunit ribosomal RNA", at positions 505 to 776 of the family's 1533-position model. The record is from RNAcentral.
GUGUCAGCAGCCGCGGUAAUACGUAGGUGGCAAGCGUUGUCCGGAAUUAUUGGGCGUAAAGCGCGCGCAGGCGGUCCUUUAAGUCUGAUGUGAAAGCCCACGGCUCAACCGUGGAGGGUCAUUGGAAACUGGGGGACUUGAGUACAGAAGAGGAAAGUGGAAUUCCAUGUGUAGCGGUGAAAUGCGUAGAGAUGUGGAGGAACACCAGUGGCGAAGGCGACUUUCUGGUCUGUAACUGACGCUGAGGCGCGAAAGCGUGGGGAGCAAACAGG